UUUCCGUAGGUGAACCUGCGGAAGGAUCAUUCAUAAUAAAGUGUUUUAUGGCACUUUUUAAAAAUCCAUAUCCACCUUGUGUGCAAUGUUUGAUCUCGUCAAUCUUGGCGAGAUUUUUAUACAUCAACUCAUUCUUUAACUAAUUUGUCUGAAAAAUAUUAUGAAUACUUAAUUCAAAAUACAACUUUCAACAACGGAUCUCUUGGCUCUC
RNAcentral lists this unclassified non-coding RNA (211 nucleotides) under plant metagenome. RNAcentral's name for it is "partial contains small subunit ribosomal RNA, internal transcribed spacer 1, and 5.8S ribosomal RNA". The record is from RNAcentral.